GUUACAAUCUGCAUUAAGGGUGUUUUUAACAUCUCUCCUGUCUCUCAGCAAUUUGUGUAGCUAGGUGGUUUUAAUGAUCAGGUCAGAUUUGGAAAACAUGGUCAUGGUUAGGCGAGAGAUUACACAGGGACCUCCUGUAAUGUUACCUGGGUCAUAAGUAAGUAAUAUUUCCACAGGAGAAAGUCCAUCCUUUAGGAAGAUAGACAUUGUAGUGGUAACUCAUAACUUGGUGAGUUUUGGUACAAUUCAUAGUGGUGCUCAGG
This is a non-coding RNA of Pelobates cultripes (western spadefoot toad), 263 nucleotides long. The record is from the annotation of a GenBank genome assembly. Lineage: Eukaryota; Metazoa; Chordata; Amphibia; Anura; Pelobatidae.